Molecule: ribosomal RNA, 893 nt
Filed under: Lonsdalea iberica
Lineage: Bacteria; Pseudomonadati; Pseudomonadota; Gammaproteobacteria; Enterobacterales; Pectobacteriaceae
Description: bacterial LSU rRNA
Rfam family: Bacterial large subunit ribosomal RNA
Source: RNAcentral
AAGAUGCAGUGUACCCGCGGCAAGACGGAAAGACCCCGUGAACCUUUACUAUAGCUUGACACUGAACCUUGAGCCUUGAUGUGUAGGAUAGGUGGGAGGCUUUGAAGUGUGGACGCCAGUCUGCAUGGAGCCAACCUUGAAAUACCACCCUUUAAUGUUUGAUGUUCUAACGUGGGCCCCUAAUCGGGGUUGCGGACAGUGUCUGGUGGGUAGUUUGACUGGGGCGGUCUCCUCCCAAAGAGUAACGGAGGAGCACGAAGGUUAGCUAAUCCUGGUCGGACAUCAGGAGGUUAGUGCAAAGGCAUAAGCUAGCUUGACUGCGAGAGUGACGGCUCGAGCAGGUGCGAAAGCAGGUCUUAGUGAUCCGGUGGUUCUGAAUGGAAGGGCCAUCGCUCAACGGAUAAAAGGUACUCCGGGGAUAACAGGCUGAUACCGCCCAAGAGUUCAUAUCGACGGCGGUGUUUGGCACCUCGAUGUCGGCUCAUCACAUCCUGGGGCUGAAGUAGGUCCCAAGGGUACGGCUGUUCGCCGUUUAAAGUGGUACGCGAGCUGGGUUUAGAACGUCGUGAGACAGUUCGGUCCCUAUCUGCCGUGGGCGUUGGAAGAUUGAGGGGGGUUGCUCCUAGUACGAGAGGACCGGAGUGAACGCACCACUGGUGUUCGGGUUGUCAUGCCAAUGGCAUUGCCCGGUAGCUAAGUGCGGAAGAGAUAACCGCUGAAAGCAUCUAAGCGGGAAACUUGCCCCGAGAUGAGUCUUCCCUGGGACUUCGAGUCCCCUGAAGGGCCGUUGAAGACGACGACGUAGAUAGGCUGGAUGUGUAAGCGUAGCGAUACGUUGAGCUAACCAGUACUAAUGACCCGAGAGGCUUAACCUUACAACACCGAAGGUGUUU